This 505-nucleotide ribosomal RNA is filed under the name uncultured bacterium. Its description in RNAcentral is "partial 16S ribosomal RNA". It matches the Rfam family "Bacterial small subunit ribosomal RNA", at positions 30 to 523 of the family's 1533-position model. The record is from RNAcentral.
AUUGAACGCUGGCGGCAUGCCUUACACAUGCAAGUCGAACGGCAGCACGGGUGCUUGCACCUGGUGGCGAGUGGCGAACGGGUGAGUAAUACAUCGGAACGUACCUUAUCGUGGGGGCUAACAAAUUGAAAAAUUUGCUAAUACCGCAUAAUACUCUGAGGAGGAAAGCGGGGGGUUCGUAAGAACAUCGUCAGAUUAGAGCGGCCGAUGGCUGAGUAGCUAGUUGGUGAGGUAAAGGCCCACCAAGGCAACGAUCAGUAGCAGGUCUGAGAGGAUGAUCUGCCACACUGGAACUGAGAAACGGUCCAGACUCCUACGGGAGGCAGCAGUGGGGAAUUUUGGACAAUGGACGAAAGUCUGAUCCAGCAAUGCCGCGUGAGUGAAGAAGGCCUUCGGGUUGUAAAGCUCUUCUGUCAGUGAAGAAAACUUUAAUAAUAACACUAUUAAAGCAUGACGGUAACUGAAGAAUAAGGACCGGCUAACUACGUGCCAGCAGCCGCAGUAA